This 30-nucleotide non-coding RNA is filed under the name Rattus norvegicus (Norway rat). Lineage: Eukaryota; Metazoa; Chordata; Mammalia; Rodentia; Muridae. The record is from RNAcentral.
UUCCAAAGCCUGCACAGGACACGUUUUUUA